Molecule: ribosomal RNA, 784 nt
Filed under: Aerococcus sp. C28-PCA-T3P21
Lineage: Bacteria; Bacillati; Bacillota; Bacilli; Lactobacillales; Aerococcaceae
Description: bacterial SSU rRNA
Rfam family: Bacterial small subunit ribosomal RNA
Source: RNAcentral
UGCAAGUCGAGCGAACAGAUGAAGUGCUUGCACUUCUGACGUUAGCGGCGAACGGGUGAGUAACACGUAAGGAAUCUACCUAUAAGCGGGGGAUAACAUUCGGAAACGGGUGCUAAUACCGCAUAAUAUCUUCUUCCGCAUGGAAGAAGAUUGAAAGACGGCUCUGCUGUCACUUAUAGAUGACCUUGCGGUGCAUUAGUUAGUUGGUGGGGUAACGGCCUACCAAGACGAUGAUGCAUAGCCGACCUGAGAGGGUGAUCGGCCACAUUGGGACUGAGACACGGCCCAAACUCCUACGGGAGGCAGCAGUAGGGAAUCUUCCGCAAUGGGCGAAAGCCUGACGGAGCAAUGCCGCGUGAGUGAAGAAGGCCUUCGGGUCGUAAAACUCUGUUAUAAGAGAAGAACAAAUUGUAGAGUAACUGCUACAGUCUUGACGGUAUCUUAUCAGAAAGCCACGGCUAACUACGUGCCAGCAGCCGCGGUAAUACGUAGGUGGCAAGCGUUGUCCGGAUUUAUUGGGCGUAAAGGGAGCGCAGGUGGUUUCUUAAGUCUGAUGUGAAAGCCCACGGCUUAACCGUGGAGGGUCAUUGGAAACUGGGAAACUUGAGUACAGAAGAGGAAUGUGGAACUCCAUGUGUAGCGGUGGAAUGCGUAGAUAUAUGGAAGAACACCAGUGGCGAAGGCGACAUUCUGGUCUGUUACUGACACUGAGGCUCGAAAGCGUGGGGAGCAAACAGGAUUAGAUACCCUGGUAGUCCACGCCGUAAACGAUGAGUGCUAGGUG